AAAAUUUUAAGUUAAUUAAACUAUUAACCUUCAAAGUUAAAAAUAUAUAUGUAAUUUGUAUAAAUUUUA
RNAcentral lists this transfer RNA (69 nucleotides) under Eurytoma sp. TJS-2016. Its description in RNAcentral is "tRNA-Trp". Lineage: Eukaryota; Metazoa; Arthropoda; Insecta; Hymenoptera; Eurytomidae. The record is from RNAcentral.